Molecule: ribosomal RNA, 771 nt
Filed under: uncultured delta proteobacterium
Lineage: Bacteria; Deltaproteobacteria
Description: bacterial SSU rRNA
Rfam family: Bacterial small subunit ribosomal RNA
Source: RNAcentral
UCAGAACGAACGCUGGCGGCGUGCUUAACACAUGCAAGUCGAACGCGAACGAGUUCUUCGGAACUUUAGUAGAGUGGCGCACGGGUGAGUAACGCGUAAGUAAUCUACCCUCGCAUCUGGGAUAACCCACCGAAAGGUGUGCUAAUACCGGAUACGUCUAAGUUAAUAUCUUUUUUUUAGAGAAAGGUGGCCUCUGAUUCAAGCUACUGUGCGGGGAGGAGCUUGCGUACCAUUAGCUAGUUGGUAGGGUAACGGCCUACCAAGGCGACGAUGGUUAGCGGGUCUGAGAGGAUGAUCCGCCACACUGGAACUGAAACACGGACCAGACUCCUACGGGAGGCAGCAGUGAGGAAUAUUGCGCAAUGGGGGCAACCCUGACGCAGCGACGCCGCGUGGAUGAUGAAGGCCUUCGGGUUGUAAAAUCCUGUCAGAUGGGAAGAAGUGCUAUAUGGUUAAUAUCUGUAUAGUUUGACGGUACCAUCAAAGGAAGCACCGGCUAACUCCGUGCCAGCAGCCGCGGUAAUACGGAGGGUGCAAGCGUUGUUCGGAAUUACUGGGCGUAAAGCGCGCGUAGGCGGCUAUGUAAGUCAGAUGUGAAAGCCCGCGGCUCAACCGUGGAAGUGCAUUUGAAACUGUAUAGCUUGAGUACUGGAGGGGGUAGUGGAAUUCCCGGUGUAGAGGUGAAAUUCGUAGAUAUCGGGAGGAAUACCGGUGGCGAAGGCGACUACCUGGCCAGAUACUGACGCUGAGGUGCGAAACGUGGGGAGCAAA